CCUACGGGGAGCAGCAGUGAGGAAUAUUGGUCAAUGGGCGUAAGCCUGAACCAGCCAAGUCGCGUGAGGGAUGAAGGUUCUAUGGAUCGUAAACCUCUUUUAUAAGGGAAUAAAGUGCGGGACGUGUCCCGUUUUGUAUGUACCUUAUGAAUAAGGAUCGGCUAACUCCGUGCCAGCAGCCGCGGUAAUACGGAGGAUCCGAGCGUUAUCCGGAUUUAUGUGGUUUAAAGGGUGCGUAGGCGGCCUUUUAAGUCAGCGGUGAAAGUCUGUGGCUCAACCAUAGAAUUGCCGUUGAAACUGGGAGGCUUGAGUAUGUUUGAGGCAGGCGGAAUGCGUGGUGUAGCGGUGAAAUGCUUAGAUAUCACGCAGAACCCCGAUUGCGAAGGCAGCCUACCAAGCCAUGACUGACGCUGAUGCACGAAAGCGUGGGGAUCAAACAGGAUUAGAUACCCUUGUAGUC
Molecule: ribosomal RNA, 460 nt
Filed under: uncultured bacterium
Lineage: Bacteria
Description: partial 16S ribosomal RNA
Rfam family: Bacterial small subunit ribosomal RNA
Source: RNAcentral